Molecule: small RNA, 634 nt
Filed under: Oryza sativa Japonica Group (Japanese rice)
Lineage: Eukaryota; Viridiplantae; Streptophyta; Magnoliopsida; Poales; Poaceae
Description: sRNA Os09g0545901
Source: RNAcentral
ACUCCGACAUUGUGGCAUGGCAUCGCCAUGGAGCACAAGAACGCCCUCUCAACCUCUUUAGAGGCAUCUCUCCUAAGUAAGCACAUGACGUACUCCAUAACAGAUGUGUCGCAUGUCAACGUGAUCCUCCCAUCUUCGCUUGCAAAGCCAAACUCCUCAUGAGACAUCGUCAGGAGCUCGCCAAAGACUGCCGUGCCAAGGUACGGCAAUGGCACCUCAAACCGCGCCCCGUCGGCAGUGUACACAGCGCAGUGGCCCUUACCGGCAAGAGAUGCAGUGCUGCAGCAAUCGUGGCUGGUUCCUGCCGUGUGCCGGCCACUGCCGGCUGAGGCUGACACCAUCUUCUGCUGCAACUUCCUAGCCAACUGAGCAAGCUUCUUUGCAUGGAUCAUGGUUCUGCCUUGUUUUUGGCGAAAUCAACUGCACUUUGUUGAUCAGAGGCUUGGUUCUUGGAUUGCUAGUAUCUUGUUUGUGAAUGAAGUGGAUGUGUUCAGCUGGCCAAAAUUUAUAGGAGAAAACUGAAGAAGGAAAGAUAGUGAUGGGCCAGGAGACAUGGCCGUGAGUGGUGUUUGUACGUGCAAGGUUGCUGGAUCAAUGAGAUUUUGAUUAGACUGACAUGGGAUCGGCUGCUUGG